GUCAAAAGAUAUUUUUGAUAUUUAUCUUGCGAAGGGAAACCAAUGUUAAAGAGAAAAAGUUGAGGGCUAAUUUCUUUUAUCUCCUUAAAAAUAGAAUUAAUAAGGCCAAGCAUUUGAAUUUUUAUAUUAUCAAGACCCUGACACUCCCACCAUAUAUGAUAAAUAGUGCCCUCUUCAUUUCCACAUCUCCAACAAUUCUUAGAAUGUACAG
Pelobates cultripes (western spadefoot toad) is the source of this 211-nucleotide non-coding RNA. The record is from the annotation of a GenBank genome assembly. NCBI's taxonomy places the organism in Eukaryota, Metazoa, Chordata, Amphibia, Anura, Pelobatidae.